This 71-nucleotide transfer RNA is filed under the name Camelus bactrianus (Bactrian camel). It matches the Rfam family "tRNA". From Rfam's summary of the family: Transfer RNA (tRNA) molecules are approximately 80 nucleotides in length. Their secondary structure includes four short double-helical elements and three loops (D, anti-codon, and T loops). Lineage: Eukaryota; Metazoa; Chordata; Mammalia; Artiodactyla; Camelidae. RNAcentral also lists the same sequence under 1 other name. The record is from Rfam by way of RNAcentral.
GCAGGUCUAGCUCAGUGGUAGAGCGUGUGCUUAGUAAGCACAAGGGCCUGGGUUCAAUCCCCAGUACCUCA